Long non-coding RNA from Mus musculus (house mouse), 8488 nucleotides. RefSeq annotates it as predicted gene, 52924. The record is from RefSeq and is a predicted model, not a curated record. The transcript is spliced from 2 exons. Lineage: Eukaryota; Metazoa; Chordata; Mammalia; Rodentia; Muridae.
GGGGAAAGGCUUUAUUGGGGAGAACAAAGUUUAAACCAUUUUUUAAAAAAUUGGCACUUGAGAAGGAAAGGGGGAACAGAAUUCAGGUUCGUCUUUACAAGGCGUUAGAAAGUACAACUAGAUUCCUACAUCUCUUGUUUUGUGAGUAAAAGCCGUGUUUGGGGGGCAGGGUUUCACUGCGCACUGGAUUUACACGCUACACAAGCGAGGGAGUUGGAGUCGAGGCUUUAUCUCAGUACACAAGAUGGCCAUGACCAUGGAGGUGAGAGAGCCAAGGACACCAGGAUACUGCCUGUUAUGAAGCCUGAACCAACCUGUGACUAAGGAUAAAGGUCAUUUUUGCUCACUGUGCUCAGAGCUUUAUAGAAGAGAAUUGGGGUGGAACUGGAGACUCAACUCAUCUCACAACCUCUCAAAGGAGAGCCUGAGAGGAACUGGGGGGACAUUGCCCUUGGGAACCCCAGCUCCCUUAAUUACUAACUCCGCCUCCAUCCUUGGCACUCCCCUCCAGUUCCUCCCCUUUCUCCUCCUCUCCCCUCUCCUGCAGUAUGUCACUGCUCAGAAUCUCAACUACAACACAAACACCCAUCAGCACAGACUGAUUCUGAUCUGGCGCUCCGAAUGCUGGACCUGUGGAGCCUACAAGUCAAAGGAGAGACACUGUGGUUUGGGGAGAGCCCUUUAUUAAAUUCCUUUAAAAUAAACAUUAAGGUAUUGAACUUUGCCCAGUGGUUAGGAGAGCUGGCUUUUUCACUCAUAGCAGUGAGGAGCGUUCACUAUGUCCCACGUGUUAAACGAGUGUCCUCUCGCAGAGAUGUUGUGAGUGCUCGCUAAGACAGUGCUCACCAGGUGCUUAUUACAGCAUCAAGCCCUGCUUAAAUGGGUCCUCUCAUAAAGCUCAGCGUGAGAUAAAUACGCCCCUUCAGAAAGAAGAAAAGGAACCUUUCUUACCAUCCCUGCUGUAAAAUAGAUGCCUAAUGGUUCUCUUAGAGGAGUGCAGAUACCAUCGUCAACUUUAUGACAUUUGUGGGGAGUGGGGAUGAGGGAGCGCACUUCCACCGCUUGAUCCAUUGUUGCAUGGGAAUGGUAGUGAUAAGGUAAUGUCUAAAAAACAAGUUAUUAUAAGUGAGAAAGCAGGUUGCUAAUAUUACCAGAACCUAUGUCAUGCUGAAAGUCAAUCAUUUGUUCACUAAAAGAAACCCCUAGGAAAUAAAUAAGGGGCAUUUAUCCCUCACACACAUGUGUUUUCUGGAUGUUGCUGAGGGAAAUAUGCCCUACAGAGAAACCAUUUAGAUACAGUAUGGACUUGUCCAAGGGCUGAAUAAUAGCAACUAAGCCUGAGUGGAUAAAGUCAUCUUUCUAAUUUAUCAAGACGGAGUCACAUCCCUUAUCUUUAGGGUGGACUGAGAAGUAGGUUGUCACAAUUUAUCCUGGGCCUUCACCCCAUGGAAGAAUCACACCCCCUAUGUCACCGUUCUUAGUGUGCACUUCUGCCAAGGUAGUUUCUAUAGCCUCCCACUGUGUACAGUUCAUAACUCCCUCUUGUGCUGAGAUUUGGGGGGCAGUGAUGUGUUGCUGGCUGCUGGCUCGAGGAGCGAGGGCUGUAACCCACUCAAGCUGUCACCUGAUCCAUUACCACGGUUGCACGCUGGGUCGGACACCACCAGGAUGCCUCACUGGACAAGAGCCAAGGGCCAAGAUAAUUGGAUUCCCUCUCAAAGUGCAUCAAAGCACAUCGACAAAGAGGGUCCCCACGGGCUUCUGCUUUUGCUAUAAGCAGCAGAGACGAGAGAUGCAUGUGCUGAACUCUAAUCCUCCUGCUCACCUCUCUCGCGUACAGAGCGCCACAAUCAGUCACAGACAAUGUGUCUCCUCGAAGGUUACUUAUUAUGUAGAACUCCAGUAUGCAUACAUCAGGGGAAACGUGAUGUGUUAUAAAAACUGGGCAGAGGGUGUAUCUUCACAGUGAAUGGAAAAAAGAAAGGAUUUUAUUUUGCUGUUCAAUCUCUGGAAAGGUUAUACAUCAUUAGAGAUACAAUCCAAACAAAAACCAAUUUCAAAACGAAAAUAAUUUUCUAUCAUAGUGGGAAAAGCUACUAAGGAUGACUAAAUCCAACUUCAUAAAUCUCUUUUCUUCUCCAUUGUCUCUCUGUGUCUCUCUGUCACUGUCUCUCUGUGUCUCUGUGUCUCUCUGUCUCUGUCUCUCUUUCUCUCUCUCACACAGAGAGAGAGAGCGAGAGAGAGAUAGAAAGAGAGAGAGACAAAGAGAUUUUUUUGUUUUUCAAAUAUCUCUUCUCUCCUUUCUCUUAGCUUUGUUAUAUUUUACAUUUUUCCACGCAGUAGGAGAAUGACGUGAACAGCUGACACUUUUGGUAGCCUUUUCUCUCCCUCUUUCUAAGGGCGAGUUUCUGACCCCAUUAAUCUCAGAAAUAGAAUGCAACAUUUUCUGUCCCUGGUUUCGUCUGCCUGCUACUAGACCAGUUUCUGUGUCCUAGAUUUAAUAUGCUGAUUAGCCAGCCUGCCUGGGAACACCAUGGAAAGGAAAAAGAGUCUCAUGAUUCCUCUAGAGAAGAAUAGAAGGUAUGGGUAUAAAAUAGUGCCAGGAUGUAUGUGCUUUGUGGAAAUUAAAUCUUGGACUUGAGAACUUUGUGGCUUGUCACAGUGUUUGAAAGAUACCACUUGCUUUCCUUCCCAGGAUGGUUAUAAAGUCAAGCUGUUAGACCCCAGAGACCAUUGCAGACUGGUAGAAAAGUAUUUUGCCACAUUUUUUAAAAUCUAGAAGCUGCCAAGUUCUCAGCUUCUCCAAGUACCUCACAGAGUUGAUUUUAUGUGAGGAGACCGAUCUUCCAGUACUUUCACAAGUUUCUGCUUUGCCUUUUGAGGCCAAGACAGAGGGGUUGGGGAAGAAGAUGUAAAACCAAGCGCUCUUCCUCUAAAGGGGGAUGCGACUCUGAGAUUGUCAUAGAGAGAAAGGAACGCCAGACCUCCAGGCUUGCCAGACCAAUUCUGCCCUCAGCCACAUGUCUGUGGCUUCCAUUGCUAUCAAUGGGACUUGUGUGUGCAUGUGAACUGAAGACAAAAGUUGGCUGUGUAUAAAUAGCUCUGCAACCGUGCACGUCUCUUCUUGUGUGUUUGGGACAACAGAGGCAGUCUUGUGCGGCUGGAGGCUAUUUCUCCAUCUAGUAAAAUGUAGAUGGGCAGUUGCAAGAAAUCUUGUAGUAGAAUAUUUGAUGGUGAUUAUUGAGGGGACCAGGAGCAGUAUUUGGCUAAACUCCUCUCGUUUUCCAAGAGCAAAUCCAAGGCAGAUUUAAGGAGGCCUCCUAGCCCCGGCCUGCCAUUCCAUUGGCUGAACUGCCCAUUGCUGCUUGACUUGAGUGAUAUGUAGCUAGCUGGUAGGGUGGUCAUUCAAUAUGCUAAUUUUGGGGUUAACAAGUAUGUCUUAAACAAAGAGUUUAUAUUCCAGAUGGCUGCUCACCCAACAGAGCUACCUGACAUGGUGGGCCCUCUGUGAACUCUGACCCCAUCAAUCAGGUUGCAGGUCACCCUUGAUUUCACCACUGUGAAGUCCCUUUACCACUUUAAACACAUUGAUAGAUUCCACACUUAUACUUGGGCAUUUUUUAUUCUUCCCAAUAAAAAGGGUCUUGAGAUAUCAGGUGGUUAGCAAGCAGAAAUGCUUGGCAUUCGGCCACGCUCCUAGUCUUCCAGCUAACAUACUGGCAUCAAGUUCUGUCAUCUUCUUAUAGAGCCUCAGAUGAGGUAUUCCUUCAAAUCAUAGGUCAGGGUGAAGUCUUGUUAUCCACUAGAACAGGAGACUUCAAGCCAGGCAUGGUACUGUGCACAAAUAAGUGUAGUAUGAAGAGGGGAAGGCAUGAGUAUGGAGAACUUGGGACCAGCCUGAGGUGCACAGUGAGACUCUGUCAGAAAGGAAAGAAGGAAGGAAGGAAGGAAAGAAGGAAGGAAGAAAGGAAGGAAGGAAGGAAGGAAGGAAGGAGGGAGGGAGGGAGGGAGGGAGGGAGGGAGGGAGGGAGGGAGGGAGGAAUUUCUCUAAGUUACAUCUGAGAUAAUCUAGGCUAUCAAACUCUGAAAGCUGCCUAUGUUAUUAUUAAUAACAUUCUCUCCUGUGCACUUAAGUUCUGUAUCAGUUUUCUAUUAUCUCUGCAGAUGUAAUGACUUUAACAGCGUGAGUUUGUUAUCUUGCAGUUGUAGGCAUCCAAAGUUGGAUGUGGUUCCCACUGGGAUAGAAGAAAGAUGUCACAGGGAUGUGUUGCUUUCUGCAGCUCAAGGGGAGCAUCCUUUUGCUCAUCCAGGGUGAUGGCAGAAUACAGGCCCUAGCAGUUGUAAGACCAAGGACCCCAUUUCUCAUAGGCGGCAUCUAGACUCUAGAGACUGUCCACCUCUGUGGGAUCACGAUCCCUUCCUCUAAUUUUCAAAGCAGGUCAAGACUUUGCAUAUGGCCCUGAGUUACUCUUCUGCCUUCCCCUUCCACGUCUAAGAAUUUGUGUGAUUAGACUGAUCCCAAUUGAAACCUUCGAGAUAAUCUCACCACUUUAAACACAUUUAUAGAUCCCACACUUAUACUUGGGCAUUUAUUAUUCUUCCCAUUAAAAAGACCUUGAAGUUAUCAGGUGCUUAGCAGGCAGCUCUUACUGAGUGGCUACAAAGGCUUAUCAAGGACGUCUAAACAUGCUGCUAUGUUGAGUGAACUAGGUCUAUUUUAAGGUCAUAAAUAAAGCAGAUAAUCUGGCAUUGUGUGUGUAGGUGUGCAUGUGUGUUUAGUUUUUGAGACAGGAUGUUACUCUACAAUUCAAGCUGCCCUAGAACUUGAGAUUCUGCUUUGUCAUCUCUCAAAUGUUCAUAUUCCAGGCCAGUGUCCCCAUGCCCACCUUGUCAUAAGAUUAGUAAGACUAUGACAUUUUAUAUUAUAUUACGUUUUCUAGAUCUUUCUUCUUUAUAUGGCCAUACCAAUGAACUAUAAUGGAAUAAUAGACAAAAUGUAGUUUUCUAAUUGAAAUGAGGUCUAAACAAGACUAAAGCUACACCAAAUACCCCGUCCUACACUUACAGAAAAGCUUAUUUCAAAGAUGUUUGUAUGAACUCAUUGAUUAAUUUAAAAAAUACCUGAUCAUUUGUGCAUGUCAGGAUUUAAGGAAUACACCAGGCAAAGACUAAUUAACACUUUAUCCCAUGCUUACAGAGCACUGGGGAGCUAGAAAGCAAAAACUAAAACACACCCGAAGGAUGAGCAGGUGAGGAAAGAACAUGCGUGGGGUCAAAGAUGAUAAAGAUAUUUAUGUUAAUAAACAUCUUUUCAUAUUUAACAGAAAGCUAAUAUUAGAGCCUGGUCAACGGAGACGUCUCAGAAGGAGAAGGACUACUGCACAGAGUUGGAAGUGAAGGCCAUAAGAUUUCCUAUGUCUCCUCUUAGCCACGCCAAGCAGGUACCGAGGUUUCUUGGGAAGACUGCUUGUUUCCCACCCGCGGGGAACAGCAAACUUGCCUGAGCGCAGUGCUAGACUACACUGCACAGGCGCUGCUCCCUGGGUCUUUUCCUGUUCCUGGCAAGCUGUAGACAACUUCCCCCGGCUCGACACUGAGACAGCAGGAUGGGAAAGGAGCCUUCGGAAGCCCCAGGUGGCCGCUGUCAUCUCCAGGGUGACACACAUCAGGAGUGACAGAAUGACGCACACAGAGGCAUUCUGAAAAUUUGGUUGGGAGAUCUAUGGGAAGGAAGUUUGAAGUAACGUCCUUGGGGGCAAGAUUCUGUACACUCCUGUAGUGAUAGACUUUCCUGGGGAACAGUGAGGAGAAACAUAACAGCCACUCAAGGCUGAUGUUCAAGCCUGAAACUCAUCAAGUGUGGAGUUAGUCUGCAUGUCAGGGAUCAGGGAAGCUCUAAAGUUUAAGAGUCAAAAGGAAAAAGGAAGUGAACACUUAGAGGAUCUUAAAGGAAAGACGCUUUGCACACGAGGCCAAUCCUAAUUGUCAGCUUUCCCAAUUCACACUUUCUCCUUGAACCUUAAAUGUCUAGAAGAAUUCACAAAACUUAAAAGCAGUAGGGGGAAGGGGUGUGGGAAGAUAUUAAGGCUGCAUCUCUGAGCUGUAGAAAAGGCUUUUCCCAUGCCUUUGUCCUUCAGUGGUUUUCACCCUAUUUCUCAAGACCAGAAGAGGAAGGCAACAUCCCCAGUAGAUGUACUCACAUUGUAAUGCGGUCACUGCUGGAUUGUGAGUGGAAUGGUGUGAGUUGCCUGCAGAAGAGAUCCAGGAGUGUGCAUGCCUCCAGCCAGAGCACACACUGCAGUUGUGCUCGGCUGCUUUCUAGGAUCACUCCAAAGCAGUGAGUUGGAGGAGGAAAGGUGGAGAAAGGGUGGACUCCAGAGAUAGAGCAUGGACCAGAAACAUAGAGACCGGGGAAGAGAGAGGGAAAGAUGGGGUAAGAAGACAGGUGGAAUGAAGACAGGAUGGUUCUCAGCUGAACUGUUCAGCUCCUUGGAUCCCUAGAACAGUUUUGUACAAUGAUGAAAAUCAUACGGAGUUUGGACCCUGGGAAAUGAAAUGGCCAACAAUGGGGUGGUUCUCAGCACUGUAAGCAGAGGAAUUUUUGGGCAACAGCACUGUGUUAAAGUAUUCAGGGUGGUUUAUCAUGGAAGUAUGGUGCCACGGAAGUGAGAGAUCGGCAUGUUAGGCCAUCUGGUGAGAGGCAAUGUGUCAAUCUCCCAGAUGGUUUGUGAAAAAAGAAAGACUAGAUGCUGAAUGGAGAUCAGCAUAUGAAAAGAGCCACGGAAUCGCAAAUGUACGGAAAGCCUGUUCUUCUGGGGAGUUGUCUGAAAACUUCACAAAGUACUCACCACGCUGAUCUUACAUGAUCGGAAAGAUCCGAAUUGUCAACAUGGAACAGUUUCAAUAAUGCACACCAUACCUGCCUUCGCUUCUUUUAACCAGCAAUGGUGGUACUGGGAAGGAGACAAUAUUAUCCCUUUCACUGAUUUGUUUGAAUUCAUUCAGGUUUUACAGGAGUUUUGUGCAGGGAGAGCUAGUAGAUCAUGGAGGUCCUGACUCGGUGUUCUCAAUGGGCAUCACUGCAUUUGUGAAAUACAUCACAUGACUCAGAGACAAUCAGCUCGUGGAGACAAAUUUCAAAAUAAACACAUUUUCACUACCAUGUGGAUGGUGCUCAUUGUUGAUUCUGAGUAUCAUGUGACAGAUUUCCCACGUUCACAUAAUUCUGGGAUGGCGACACAAAGAAUGUUCAAAAGCAGAAACUCAGAGUGGUACACAUUUCUUCUUACUCAUUUUUUUAAAAAAAGACAGAAUGUAUUUUUUCCAUUUCAUGCAAAUUUCUUUAAUAGAUUUUCCAAAAAUAAUACACAUUUAUGUAUAUAUUCUCAUAGAUCUAAAUUAGGUUUUAAAUGCUUGUAAGACUAACUACUAUCAAUAUAUUUAUUAACUAAGAUUUUUGCUUCAUUUGAUUAAUCCAAUAUUUUCCCUUUUGCUUAUUCUUCUCUCAUAUAUUGCAUCCUGACUGCAGUUCCCCUUCCCUCUUCUCCCUCCCUGCUCCGGUUUUUCCCCAAACCUCCCCCCACCACUUCAUCUCCCUUCCGAAAAGAGCAGGCCUUCCAAGGACUUCAACAAAAUACAGCAUAGCAUGCUACAGUAAGACCAGGCACAUAUUCUCACAUCAAGGCUGGAUGAGGCAACCCAAUAGGAGAAAAAGGAUCCCAAAGGCAGCAAAAGAGUCAGAGACAGCCCACGCUUCUCCUGUUAGAAAUCCCACAAGAACACUGCUAUACAUAUAAUAUAUACACAGAGGACUGAGGUCAGAGCCACACAGCCUCCCUGAUCUCCGGGAGCCCACUCGAUCCUUGUCAGUUGCUUCUGCAGGCUGUGAUUUUGUGAUGUCCUCAGUCCCUCUGGCUCCUUCAAUCCUCCCUUCAUCUCUUCCACAGGAUCACAAGCUCUGCCUAAUGUUUGGCUGUGGGACUCUACAUCUGCUCCCAUCAAUUGCUGGAUGAAGUCUCUCUGGUGUCUCUGAUGAUGAUUAUGCUAGGCUCAGGUCCCGGCACAUGCUGCAGGCAUGACAAACUGUAGGUCCGAGGUUUUGUAACUGUGUUGGUGUCCCAGUCCCUCCACUUGAGGCCAUACCUGGUUAUAGGAGAUGGUCUAUUCAGGCUCAGUGUCCCUCAGCGCUAUCAGGCUUUGUGCACAUCCCCCUCAUGGACUUAUGGACUUUUCAUGGCACUAGAUCUCUACCUCACUCCUGAGAUGUCCCCUUCCCAACCGGAAAGACAGAGUAUAUUUACCUUACAUUCUGGUAAUGAUUUGUAUAGUCUCACAUACAAAUCCACCUUCCAACCUGGAUGUGUUCAUAUGAACAAUGAAGCUUAUUUUUAAAAUGUUUGCAUUUUAAUUCAUGUUCAGUGGCCACCACUUGAGGCAAAUAGUUUCUCUCUAAUCUAGCAUUUCCUUUGUUCCCCAUAGAAUACUUUUA